This 467-nucleotide ribosomal RNA is filed under the name uncultured bacterium. RNAcentral describes it as "partial 16S ribosomal RNA". It matches the Rfam family "Bacterial small subunit ribosomal RNA", at positions 28 to 507 of the family's 1533-position model. The record is from RNAcentral.
GACGAACGCUGGCGGCGUGCUUAACACAUGCAAGUCGAACGGAAAGGCCUCUUUCGGGGGGUCCUCGAGUGGCGAACGGGUGAGUAACACGUGAGUAACCUGCACUUGACUUUGGGAUAACUUCAGGAAACUGGGGCUAAUACCGGAUAGGAGAUCCUGCUGCCUGGUGGGGGUUGGAAAGUUUCGGCGGUUGGGGGUGGGAUCGCGGCGUAUCCGCUUGUUGGGGGGGUAGUGGGUUACGACGGCUUUGACGGGUAGCCGGACUUUGCGGGUGAGCGGCGACAUUGACACUGAGAGGCGGCACAGACUCCGACGGGAGGCAGCAGUGGGGAAGAUUGCACCAGCGGUGGCGGCCGGAUGCAGCAGGGCCUCGGGCGGUAUGACCGCUUUCGUGUGGUAGACCGCUAGCGCUCAUGUCGCAGCUUUGUGUGACGGUAGUGGGUAAAUAAGCACCGGCUAACUACGUG